Rosa rugosa (rugosa rose) is the source of this 350-nucleotide long non-coding RNA. RefSeq lists it as uncharacterized. The record is from RefSeq and is a predicted model, not a curated record. The transcript has 2 exons. NCBI's taxonomy places the organism in Eukaryota, Viridiplantae, Streptophyta, Magnoliopsida, Rosales, Rosaceae.
UUGAACAUGUCACAAUCUGAAGCUAAUUGAUCACCCUUUCUCUUUCAUCCGUUUUACUGUCCAGCUCUCUGAUCUCCCUUCCUUUUUUAUUGUUGCUAGGCUAGGAAAGCUAUGUUUGGCUGUUCUGAGGGUAGGAGGUGAUAUUGGGGAAGAAUGGUGUGGUGAAUGUUUUGGAAUUGGGUCCUCUCUCAAGACUUUGAGAAGGAAGGAUUUGAAUUAUUGAAGCCUGGCAUUGGAACCAUUCUUAUACCCAUCUAAAUUUUGCUCGUGUUGGUGUUGUAUUUUUAUUGCUGCUGUUUUUAUUGUCUUAAUGUUGUAUUUUUAUCGGAGUAGGACGAAAGUUGUUCUUA